UGACAAGCGGCGACCGCGGUUCCACAGGAGCGGAAGCUUGAGCCUUUUGACGAGCGACUGUGCCAAACUUGGGUAAGUUGAAGAAGGUCGCUGAACUACGUAACUUUGUUACUUCAUUGCAUGAAAACUGUUUGCAGGAACCGUCGUGUUGGCACAGCGAGGAUGAUCAACAGAUACCCGAUAGGCAGCGAUGAGAGCUGUUCAUGGCACCGACACAGAGGACAGAUUGCAGUACAAGAUAGGAGCAUACUUCCUGCAAGCCCGGGCAAGCCAUAAUGAGUGGUUUCAAAUACAGCAACUGUACCACCACAACAGUGCAGCACAGGAGAGCCUAUCGUCAGUGCCGCGUCGAGAAAUUAAAUAAAAAAGCACUUACUCCUGGAAACUUCUCGUAUCAUCUUAUUGGUUUGUUUGUGAUUAUAAAACUGCACUUUCAUGG
Rhipicephalus sanguineus (brown dog tick) is the source of this 439-nucleotide long non-coding RNA. RefSeq lists it as uncharacterized. The transcript is spliced from 3 exons. Lineage: Eukaryota; Metazoa; Arthropoda; Arachnida; Ixodida; Ixodidae. The record is from RefSeq and is a predicted model, not a curated record.